RNAcentral lists this ribosomal RNA (489 nucleotides) under uncultured bacterium. RNAcentral describes it as "partial 16S ribosomal RNA". It matches the Rfam family "Bacterial small subunit ribosomal RNA", at positions 30 to 507 of the family's 1533-position model. The record is from RNAcentral.
UUGCACGCUGGCGGCAGGCCUAACACCUGCAAGUCGAACGGUAACAGGAAGCAGCUUGCUGCUUUGCUGACGAGUGGCGGACGGGUGAGUAAUGUCUGGGAAACUGCCCGAUGGAGGGGGAUAACUACUGGAAACGGUAGCUAAUACCGCAUAACGUCGCAAGACCAAAGAGGGGGACCUUAGGGCCUCUUGCCAUCGGAUGUGCCCAGAUGGGAUUAGCUAGUAGGUGGGGUAACGGCUCACCUAGGCGACGAUCCCUAGCUGGUCUGAGAGGAUGACCAGCCACACUGGAACUGAGACACGGUCCAGACUCCUACGGGAGGCAGCAGUGGGGAAUAUUGCACAAUGGGCGCAAGCCUGAUGCAGCCAUGCCGCGUGUAUGAAGAAGGCCUUCGGGUUGUAAAGUACUUUCAGCGGGGAGGAAGGGAGUAAAGUUAAUACCUUUGCUCAUUGACGUUACCCGCAGAAGAAGCACCGGCUAACUCCGUG